This 440-nucleotide ribosomal RNA is filed under the name uncultured bacterium. RNAcentral's name for it is "partial 16S ribosomal RNA". It matches the Rfam family "Bacterial small subunit ribosomal RNA", at positions 338 to 795 of the family's 1533-position model. The record is from RNAcentral.
CCUACGGGUGGCAGCAGUAGGGAAUAUUGCUCAAUGGGGGAAACCCUGACGCAGCAACGCCGCGUGGAGGAUGAAGGUUUUCGGAUUGUAAACUUCUUUUGUUAGAGAAGAUAAUGACGGUAUCUAACGAAUAAACACCGGCUAACUCCGCGCCAGCAGCCGCGGUAAUACGGAGGGUGCAAGCGUUACUCGGAAUCAUUGGGCGUAAAGAGCGCGUAGGCGGGAUAGCAAGUCAGAUGUGAAAUCCUAAGGCUUAACCAUCGAACUGCAUUUGAAACUGUUAUUCUAGAGUAUUGGAGAGGUAGGUGGAAUUCUUGGUGUAGCGGUGAAAUGCGUAGAGAUCAGGAGGAAUACUCGUUGCGAAGGCGAUCUGCUAGAACAUAACUGACGGUGAUGCGCGAAAGCGUGGGGAGCAAACAGGAUUAGAUACCCGAGUAGUC